GCAGGUAUAGCUCAGUGGUAGAGCAUGUGCUUAGCAUGCAUGAGGUCCUGGAUUCAAUCCCCAGUACCUCCA
This 72-nucleotide transfer RNA is filed under the name Camelus bactrianus (Bactrian camel). It matches the Rfam family "tRNA". Rfam says of the family: Transfer RNA (tRNA) molecules are approximately 80 nucleotides in length. Their secondary structure includes four short double-helical elements and three loops (D, anti-codon, and T loops). Further hydrogen bonds mediate the characteristic L-shaped molecular structure. tRNAs have two regions of fundamental functional importance: the anti-codon, which is responsible for specific mRNA codon recognition, and the 3' end, to which the tRNAs corresponding amino acid is attached (by aminoacyl-tRNA synthetases). tRNAs cope with the degeneracy of the genetic code in two manners: having more than one tRNA (with a specific anti-codon) for a particular amino acid; and 'wobble' base-pairing, i.e. permitting non-standard base-pairing at the 3rd anti-codon position. RNAcentral also lists the same sequence under 1 other name. The record is from Rfam by way of RNAcentral. Lineage: Eukaryota; Metazoa; Chordata; Mammalia; Artiodactyla; Camelidae.